RNAcentral lists this non-coding RNA (138 nucleotides) under Akkermansia sp. The record is from RNAcentral. Lineage: Bacteria; Pseudomonadati; Verrucomicrobiota; Verrucomicrobiia; Verrucomicrobiales; Akkermansiaceae.
CACUUCCGGGAAGCUCGCGGCACGAGCAGGAAAUAAAUGGGGAAUCCGGUGUGAAUCCGGAGCGGUACCGCCACUGUAUGUUGUCCGGAAUACAACCGGGCAAUGAGCCAGAUCGCCAGCCUCGAAGUAUUUAUGAAC